This 512-nucleotide ribosomal RNA is filed under the name uncultured bacterium. RNAcentral describes it as "partial 16S ribosomal RNA". It matches the Rfam family "Bacterial small subunit ribosomal RNA", at positions 30 to 523 of the family's 1533-position model. The record is from RNAcentral.
AUUGAACGCUGGCGGCGUGCUUAACACAUGCAAGUCGAACGCGAAAGGGGCUUCGGCCCUAAGUAAAGUGGCGCACGGGUGAGUAACACGUGGAUAAUCUGCCCUUAUGAUCGGGCUAACAGUCGGAAACGGCUGCUGAUACCGGAUACGCUCAAUAUGAACUUUUUGGGGAAAGGUGACCACUGCUUGCAAGUUACCGCAUGAGGAUGCGUCGGUGUCCCAUUAGCUUGUUGGUGGGGUAAUGGCCUACCAAGGCAACGAUGGGUAGCCGAUUUGAGAGGAUGAUCGGCCACACUGGGACUGAAACACGGCCCAGACUCCGACGGGAGGCAGCAGUGGGGAAUAUUGCGCAAUGGGCGAAAGCCUGACGCAGAGACGCCGCGUGAGGGAUGAAGGUUUUCGGAUCGUAAACCUCUGUCAGAAGGGAAGAAACCGCACUGUGCUAAUCAGCAGUGCCUUGACGGUACCUUCAAAGGAAGCACCGGCUAACUCCGUGCCAGCCGCCGCCGUAA